This 465-nucleotide ribosomal RNA is filed under the name Vreelandella stevensii. RNAcentral describes it as "partial 16S ribosomal RNA". It matches the Rfam family "Bacterial small subunit ribosomal RNA", at positions 338 to 795 of the family's 1533-position model. The record is from RNAcentral. Lineage: Bacteria; Pseudomonadati; Pseudomonadota; Gammaproteobacteria; Oceanospirillales; Halomonadaceae.
CCUACGGGUGGCAGCAGUGGGGAAUAUUGGACAAUGGGGGGAACCCUGAUCCAGCCAUGCCGCGUGUGUGAAGAAGGCCCUCGGGUUGUAAAGCACUUUCAGUGAGGAAGAACGCCUGGUGGUUAAUACCCAUCAGGAAAGACAUCACUCACAGAAGAAGCACCGGCUAACUCCGUGCCAGCAGCCGCGGUAAUACGGAGGGUGCGAGCGUUAAUCGGAAUUACUGGGCGUAAAGCGCGCGUAGGUGGCUUGAUAAGCCGGUUGUGAAAGCCCCGGGCUCAACCUGGGAACGGCAUCCGGAACUGUCAAGCUAGAGUGCAGGAGAGGAAGGUAGAAUUCCCGGUGUAGCGGUGAAAUGCGUAGAGAUCGGGAGGAAUACCAGUGGCGAAGGCGGCCUUCUGGACUGACACCGACACUGAGGUGCGAAAGCGUGGGUAGCAAACAGGAUUAGAUACCCUUGUAGUC